GACGAACGCUGGCGGCGUGCCUAAUACAUGCAAGUAGAACGCUGAAGCUUGGUGCUUGCACCGAGCGGAUGAGUUGCGAACGGGUGAGUAACGCGUAGGUAACCUGCCUGGUAGCGGGGGAUAACUAUUGGAAACGAUAGCUAAUACCGCAUAAAAUGGAUUAUCGCAUGAUAAUCCAUUGAAAGGUGCAAAUGCAUCACUACCAGAUGGACCUGCGUUGUAUUAGCUAGUUGGUGGGGUAACGGCUCACCAAGGCGACGAUACAUAGCCGACCUGAGAGGGUGAUCGGCCACACUGGGACUGAGACACGGCCCAGACUCCUACGGGAGGCAGCAGUAGGGAAUCUUCGGCAAUGGACGGAAGUCUGACCGAGCAACGCCGCGUGAGUGAAGAAGGUUUUCGGAUCGUAAAGCUCUGUUGUAAGAGAAGAACGAGUGUGAGAGUGGAAAGUUCACACUGUGACGGUAUCUCACCAGAAAGGGACGGCUAACUACGUGCCAGCAGCCGCGGUAAUACGUAGGUCCCGAGCGUUGUCCGGAUUUAUUGGGCGUAAAGCGAGCGCAGGCGGUUAGAUAAGUCUGAAGUUAAAGGCUGUGGCUUAACCAUAGUACGCUUUGGAAACUGUUUAACUUGAGUGCAAGAGGGGAGAGUGGAAUUCCAUGUGUAGCGGUGAAAUGCGUAGAUAUAUGGAGGAACACCGGUGGCGAAAGCGGCUCUCUGGCUUGUAACUGACGCUGAGGCUCGAAAGCGUGGGGAGCAAACAGG
RNAcentral lists this ribosomal RNA (765 nucleotides) under uncultured Streptococcus sp. RNAcentral describes it as "bacterial SSU rRNA". It matches the Rfam family "Bacterial small subunit ribosomal RNA", at positions 28 to 776 of the family's 1533-position model. The record is from RNAcentral. Lineage: Bacteria; Bacillati; Bacillota; Bacilli; Lactobacillales; Streptococcaceae.